GCCAAGAUGACCGAGAGGCGAGGUGUGUGGCUGCAGACCAUAUCACAGGGGUUCAAAUCCCUUUCUUGGCU
This 71-nucleotide transfer RNA is filed under the name Methanosphaera stadtmanae. RNAcentral's name for it is "tRNA-Cys". It matches the Rfam family "tRNA". Rfam says of the family: Transfer RNA (tRNA) molecules are approximately 80 nucleotides in length. Their secondary structure includes four short double-helical elements and three loops (D, anti-codon, and T loops). The record is from RNAcentral. RNAcentral also lists the same sequence under 4 other names. Lineage: Archaea; Methanobacteriati; Methanobacteriota; Methanobacteria; Methanobacteriales; Methanobacteriaceae.